Dioscorea cayenensis subsp. rotundata (Guinea yam) is the source of this 486-nucleotide RNA transcript. RefSeq lists it as uncharacterized. Lineage: Eukaryota; Viridiplantae; Streptophyta; Magnoliopsida; Dioscoreales; Dioscoreaceae. The transcript has 3 exons. The record is from RefSeq and is a predicted model, not a curated record.
UUAUUUGUUUUUUAAUUUGUUUUUUUUUUCAGAAGGAUAGUCUGUGAUUUGGUGGGUUUGGUGUUUUGGUUUGUUAGAUCUCUGUUUGGGUGUUUUAGAGUGGUCUGGAGCUUUAUUGGUUGUGAAGUAUGUUUUUUUUUAAGGGUUUUAGGGUUUCUUUUGGGGCUGGUUUUAUGAUUUUUUAAAUCAGGACGGCAGCUUAGAGGCUUUGGUUUUGAUGAAAAGUUUUGUUAAAUUUUUGGUAUCUGGACUUGGCAACCAGCAAGCUUUUGUUUUGGAGGGAGUGGCAGAAUUCCUGGUAAACUGAAGAACUUUUGUUGGCUAGUAAUAAAAAGGCGUGAGCAAAGUCUUCUCGAUCAGAGCAUCAUCAUCACUGUUUACAUUCAUGCUGUUUGUGCUGCUUCAUGGCUUAUAUCAUUGGAAGCGGCCAAUCAUGCUGAUAAGGGACCGGUAGUCCUUGGUUAGGAAUUUGACAGUUUAUCAGUU